CACGUAGGGGCCAAGCGUUGGCCGGAUUUAUUGGGCGUAAAGAGCUCGUAGGCGGUUCGGUAAGUCGGGUGUGAAACCUCCAGGCUCAACCUGGAGACGCCACCCGAUACUGCUGUGACUGGAGUCCGGUAGGGGAGCGUGGAAUUCCUGGUGUAGCGGUGAAAUGCGCAGAUAUCAGGAGGAACACCAGCGGCGAAGGCGGCGCUCUGGGCCGGUACUGACGCUGAGGAGCGAAAGCGUGGGUAGCAAACAGG
RNAcentral lists this ribosomal RNA (254 nucleotides) under uncultured bacterium. RNAcentral's name for it is "partial 16S ribosomal RNA". It matches the Rfam family "Bacterial small subunit ribosomal RNA", at positions 524 to 776 of the family's 1533-position model. The record is from RNAcentral.